GACAGAGGAGCCAAGCGUUGUCCGGAUUGACUGGGCGUAAAGCGCACGCAGGCGGACGCGCGCGUGGGGUGUGAAAUCUGGCCGCUUAACGGCCAGGCGCCAUCCCAUACGGCGCGUCUGGAGUGAUGCAGAGGUCGAUGGAAUUGCCGGUGUAGUGGUGAAAUGCGUAGAGAUCGGCAGGAACACCCAGGGGGAAACCAGUCGACUGGGCAUCUACUGACGCUGAGGUGCGAGAGCGUGGGGAGCGAACCGG
RNAcentral lists this ribosomal RNA (253 nucleotides) under uncultured bacterium. RNAcentral's name for it is "partial 16S ribosomal RNA". It matches the Rfam family "Bacterial small subunit ribosomal RNA", at positions 524 to 776 of the family's 1533-position model. The record is from RNAcentral.